AAAAAGGUAAGCUAAUUAAGCUAUUGGGUUCAUACCCCACUUAUGAAAGUCUUAAUCUUUCCCUCUUUA
This 69-nucleotide transfer RNA is filed under the name Agapanthia amurensis. Its description in RNAcentral is "tRNA-Met". Lineage: Eukaryota; Metazoa; Arthropoda; Insecta; Coleoptera; Cerambycidae. The record is from RNAcentral.